CAGGCAGCUGAAGCAAGCCUG
This 21-nucleotide microRNA is filed under the name Petromyzon marinus (sea lamprey). RNAcentral's name for it is "Pma-Mir-1788_3p (mature (co-guide))". RNAcentral also lists the same sequence under 1 other name. Lineage: Eukaryota; Metazoa; Chordata; Hyperoartia; Petromyzontiformes; Petromyzontidae. The record is from RNAcentral.